UACAGAGGUGGCAAGCGUUGUUCGGAAUUACUGGGCGUAAAGGGCGCGUAGGCGGCCUUCUAAGUCAGACGUGAAAUCCCCCGGCUUAACCUGGGAACUGCGUCUGAUACUGGAAGGCUUGAGUGCGGGAGAGGGAUGUGGAAUUCCAGGUGUAGCGGUGAAAUGCGUAGAUAUCUGGAGGAACACCGGUGGCGAAGGCGGCAUCCUGGACCAACACUGACGCUGAGGACCGAAAGCCAGGGGAGCAAACGGG
This 253-nucleotide ribosomal RNA is filed under the name uncultured bacterium. RNAcentral describes it as "partial 16S ribosomal RNA". It matches the Rfam family "Bacterial small subunit ribosomal RNA", at positions 524 to 776 of the family's 1533-position model. The record is from RNAcentral.